This is a long non-coding RNA of Liolophura sinensis, 243 nucleotides long. RefSeq lists it as uncharacterized. NCBI's taxonomy places the organism in Eukaryota, Metazoa, Mollusca, Polyplacophora, Chitonida, Chitonidae. The transcript is spliced from 3 exons. The record is from RefSeq and is a predicted model, not a curated record.
CUUCCCGCGGUUUCUCGCGUGGAUCUGGUGCCAUUUGACGAAGACAUCGCUAACGAUAUAUCGUGGCAAGCCAACGGCGACAUGAAUGAAUUUUCUCAAAAGAUAGACCAGACUAGAUUUAGAGGCGGGAAGCGGAACUCUCACCUGGCAUUAAUUCGUCUACGCCAAUGUUUCCAUAGUUCUUCACCCGGUGCAUCAAAAAUAGGAAUCGUCAUAACGGGUGGAAUGUCAUCUGAACCAGAG